GUGAACAACGAAGGGCGCGCGGUGGAUGCCUAGGCUCUCGGAGGCGAUGAAGGACGCGAUAAGCCGCGAUAGGCCACGGCGAGGUGCAAGUAACCCUUGACCCGUGGAUUUCCGAAUGGGGCAACCCGGCUGGAUAGAUUCCAGUCAUGCAGUAAUGCAAGCGAACGCGGGGAACUGAAACAUCUCAUUACCCGCAGGAGAAGAAAACAAAAUGUGAUUCCCCCAGUAGUGGCGAGCGAACGGGGAAGAGCCCAAACCGUUGCCGUUUCGGCGACAGCGGGGUCAUGGGACCGCGACAUUCGACGGAAGACGAAGUGCAAUUACCUGGAAAGGUAAGCCGUGGAGGGUGACAGCCCCGUGCACGACACCUCUUUCGAAGAUAGCGGGAUCCCGAGUAGGGCGGGACACGAGAAAUCCUGCCUGAAUUCGCCAGGACCGCCUGGCAAGGCUAAAUACUCCCGAGAGACCGAUAGUGAACCAGUACCGCGAGGGAAAGGUGAAAAGUACCCCGAGCAGGGGGGUGAAAUAGACCCUGAACCCGCGCGCCUACAAGCGGUCGGAGCCAUGAAAUAUGGUGACGGCGUGCCUUUUGCAUAAUGAGCCUACGAGUUAGUCGUCACCAGCGAGGUUAAGGGCUUCAGGCCCGUUAGCCGAAGUGAAAGCGAGCCUUAACAGGGCGUCGAGUUGGUGGCGCUAGACGCGAAACCUUGUGAUCUACCCACGAGCAGGUUGAAGUCGCGGUAACACGUGAUGGAGGACCGAACCGGUAAACGUUGAAAAGUUUUCGGAUGACUCGCGGGUAGGGGUGAAAGGCCAAUCAAACUGGGAAAUAGCUCGUACUCUCCGAAAUGCAUUUCGGUGCAGCCUGUGAUGUUCUGUUCCAGAGGUAGAGCUACUGGUUGGACGCGAGGGCUUCACCGCCUAUCAAAUCCGGAUAAACUCCGAAUGCUGGAACACGAAAUCAUGGAGUGAGCCCGCGGGUGCUAAGGUCCGCGGACGAGAGGGAAAGAACCCGGACCACCGGCUAAGGUCCCGGAUGGACAGUUAAGUUGAUCAAACGAGGUGGGAUCGCGGAGACAGCUAGGAUGUUGGCUUGGAAGCAGCCAUUCAUUUAAAGAGUGCGUAACAGCUCACUAGUCGAGCGAUCCCGCGUGGAUAAUACACGGGCAUCAAACUGUCAACCGAAGCCGUGGGGUUAGUGAUGAGCUAACCGGUAGGAGAGCAUUCCUGCCAGCUUUGAAGGUCACCCGCGAGAGUGACUGGAGCGGCAUGAAAAGCAAAUGUAGGCAUAAGUAACGAUAAUGGGGGCGAGAACCCCCCACGCCGCAAGACCAAGGAUUCCCCGGCAAUGUCAAUCAGCCGGGGGUCAGCCGGCCUCUAAGGCUCACCCGAAAGGGGAUGCCGACGAGAAACGGGUUAACAUUCCCGUGCUUCUCGUCACCGUGACGCGGUGACGGGGUGAUGAAUGGACCGCGCGCUGACGGAAUAGCGCGUUGAAGGCCGUACCCGAUGAGGGUGGUAGUCAAGCACGCCACCCGAGGCGAGAGCCGAUAGUACCACGAGACCCCGGUCGAGUGGAUAGCGUCCAGGCAAUUUACCCCCUAGAAAACCCGCUAAACUUCAAGUGACGAGGAACCGUACUGUAAACGGACACACGUGGUCGGGUAGAACAUACCAAGGCGCUCGAGUGAUUCAUGGUCAAGGAACUAGGCAAAAUAGUCCUGUAACUUCGGGAAAAAGGACGCUCUAGUGAUAGAGCCGCAGAGUAAUGGCCCAGGCGACUGUUUACCAAAAACACAUGGCUAUGCCAAAUCGAAAGAUGACGUAUAUGGCCUGACACCUGCCCGGUGCCGGAAGGUUAAGAGGAGAGCUCAUCGGAAACGAGAAGGUUUGAAUUGAAGCCCCGGUAAACGGCGGCCGUAACUAUAACGGUCCUAAGGUAGCGAAAUUCCUUGUCGGGU
This 1961-nucleotide ribosomal RNA is filed under the name human gut metagenome. Its description in RNAcentral is "bacterial LSU rRNA". It matches the Rfam family "Bacterial large subunit ribosomal RNA", at positions 1 to 1977 of the family's 2925-position model. The record is from RNAcentral.